CCUACGGGUGGCUGCAGUGAGGAAUAUUGGUCAAUGGGCGCGAGUCUGAACCAGCCAAGUAGCGUGAAGGAUGACUGCCCUAUGGGUUGUAAACUUCUUUUAUAACGGAAUAAAGUGAGUCACGUGUGCCUUUUUGUAUGUACUUUAUGAAUAAGGAUCGGCUAACUCCGUGCCAGCAGCCGCGGUAAUACGGAGGAUCCGAGCGUUAUCCGGAUUUAUUGGGUUUAAAGGGUGCGUAGAUGGAUUGUUACGUCAGUUGUGAAAUUUUGCGGCUCAACCGUAAAAUUGCAAUUGAUACUGGCAGUCUAGAGAACAGUUGAGGUAGGCGGAAUUCGUGGUGUAGCGGUGAAAUGCUUAGAUAUCACGAAGAACUCCGAGUGCGAAGGCAGCUUACUAAACUGCCACUGACAUUGAUGCUCGAAAGUGUGGGUAGCAAACAGGAUUAGAUACCCCGGUAGUC
RNAcentral lists this ribosomal RNA (460 nucleotides) under uncultured bacterium. RNAcentral's name for it is "partial 16S ribosomal RNA". It matches the Rfam family "Bacterial small subunit ribosomal RNA", at positions 338 to 795 of the family's 1533-position model. The record is from RNAcentral.